GUCCCAGUUCGGAUUGUAGUCUGCAACUCGACUACAUGAAGCCGGAAUCGCUAGUAAUCGCGGAUCAGCAUGCCGCGGUGAAUACGUUCCCGGGUCUUGUACACACCGCCCGUCACACCAUGGGAGUCGGAAAUGCCCGAAGUCGGUGACCUAACCGGAAGGGAGGAGCCGCCGAAGGCAGGUCUGAUGACUGGGGUGAAGUCGUAACAAGGUAAC
This 216-nucleotide ribosomal RNA is filed under the name uncultured bacterium. RNAcentral describes it as "partial 16S ribosomal RNA". It matches the Rfam family "Bacterial small subunit ribosomal RNA", at positions 1285 to 1500 of the family's 1533-position model. The record is from RNAcentral.